AAUGAACGUUGGCGGCGUGGAUUAGGCAUGCAAGUCGAGCGCUCAUAGCAAUAUGGGAGCGGCGAACGGCGUAGUAAUGCAUCGGAACGUACCCUUCGGUCGGGGAUAGCCACGGGAAACUGUGGGUAAUACCCGAUGAUAUCUGCGGAUCAAAGGUGAGAUUCCGCCGGAGGAGCGGCUGAUGUGAUAUUAGCUUGAUGGUGGGGUAAUGGCCUACCAUGGCGAUGAUGUCUAGGGGGUGUGAGAGCAUGGCCCCCACGACGGAACUGAGACACUGUCCGGACACCUACGGUGGCUGCAGUCGAGAAUCUUCCGCAAUGGACGAAAGUCUGACGGAGCGACGCCGCGUGCGGGAUGAAGGCCCUUGGGUUGUAAACCGCUGUCAGAGGGGAUGAAAUCUCCGGGGGUACUCCCCCGGAGUUGACAGAGCCUUCAAAGGAAGCACGGGUCUAAGUACGUGCCAGCAGCCGC
RNAcentral lists this ribosomal RNA (471 nucleotides) under uncultured bacterium. Its description in RNAcentral is "bacterial SSU rRNA". It matches the Rfam family "Bacterial small subunit ribosomal RNA", at positions 29 to 518 of the family's 1533-position model. The record is from RNAcentral.